This is a long non-coding RNA of Micropterus dolomieu (smallmouth bass), 665 nucleotides long. RefSeq lists it as uncharacterized. Lineage: Eukaryota; Metazoa; Chordata; Actinopteri; Centrarchiformes; Centrarchidae. The record is from RefSeq and is a predicted model, not a curated record. The transcript has 3 exons.
GUUAUUUCAUCAUUAAAUUCACUUCUGAGACGUUUUGAGGUCAGGCUCAGCAGACAAAUGAAGCUGCCCCUCACGCUCUUCAGCAACAGCUGAAGCACAUAUUUCACCCAGUUUCACCUAAUGCUAAUUUUGUCUGCUUCCCGAUUGCAUGCCCGGUGCAAUGCAAGGUUUCAAUUUGAUUGAAGCCUCCGCCAAAAACAGUGGGCGAGAACAGGCUUCACUCGAAACUUUACUGACCUGAAAAAACAUACACACAAGCUAAUUUGAAUGCAAGACUUGGCUUCAUAGUCAUGGGAACAAACUGCUGUGUGUGCCAGCUAGGAUGUUGACCAGGGAGUGGAUCCGUUAUGCCAUGCUACAGGGAUUUUAAUGGCACCAAGAUGAUAACUGUUCCACUUUCUUGAAAAGGUGGAGGAAGCAAAUUCUCCUUGCCACGUGCAGCGCCAUUCUUGCUGGAGUCCACGUUUCCCAAAUCUCUACAAAGGAAGCAGUGGGUAAACUUUUACGAGUAACAGAAGAAUAUGCAGGUUGACAAAUACUGAAAUUUGCCUUUCAGUUUGUGCAAUUUCAUUCAUGGUAUUACUCUAUGAUUGCAGAAAAUACUGCAUUAACCGCACUGUAAUGUCAUGUGUUGGUAUGUUCAAUGCUGUUUUCCAUAUGGCUAU